AUACAUGCAAGUCGAGCGCUUUUUCUUUCACCGGAGCUUGCUCCACCGAAAGAAAAGGAGUGGCGAACGGGUGAGUAACACGUGGGUAACCUGCCCAUCAUAAGGGGAUAACACUUGGAAACAGGUGCUAAUACCGUAUAACAAUCGAAACCGCAUGGUUUCGGUUUGAAAGGCGCUUUUGCGUCACUGAUGGAUGGACCCGCGGUGCAUUAGCUAGUUGGUGAGGUAACGGCUCACCAAGGCAACGAUGCAUAGCCGACCUGAGAGGGUGAUCGGCCACAUUGGGACUGAGACACGGCCCAAACUCCUACGGGAGGCAGCAGUAGGGAAUCUUCGGCAAUGGACGCAAGUCUGACCGAGCAACGCCGCGUGAGUGAAGAAGGUUUUCGGAUCGUAAAACUCUGUUGUUAGAGAAGAACAAGGAUGAGAGUAAAAUGUUCAUCCCUUGACGGUAUCUAACCAGAAAGCCACGGCUAACUACGUGCCAGCAGCCGCGGUAAUACGUAGGUGGCAAGCGUUGUCCGGAUUUAUUGGGCGUAAAGCGAGCGCAGGCGGUUUCUUAAGUCUGAUGUGAAAGCCCCCGGCUCAACCGGGGAGGGUCAUUGGAAACUGGGAAACUUGAGUGCAGAAGAGGAGAGUGGAAUUCCAUGUGUAGCGGUGAAAUGCGUAGAUAUAUGGAGGAACACCAGUGGCGAAGGCGGCUCUCUGGUCUGUAACUGACGCUGAGGCUCGAAAGCGUGGGGAGCAAACAGGAUUAGAUACCCUGGUAGUCCACGCCGUAAACGAUGAGUGCUAGCUGUUGGACGGUUUCCGCCCUUCAGUGCUGCGGCUAACGCAUUAAGCACUCCGCCUGGCGAGUACGACCGCAAGGUUGAAACUCAAAGGAAUUGACGGGGGCGCGGCACCAGCAAUGUAGCAUGUGGCUUAGUUCAACCAAAGCGCACAACCUUAACGCGUCCUGACUUCCGUGGCCUCUCAGGACAUAUAGCUUCCGCGUUCGCCAGUUACGUGACCAGUGGAGCGUGUUUGUCGUGAACCGAGUCGAGAGAUGUGGGAUCCGUCCGCCACCGCCGCCACCGUGAUGUUAUUUGGCAUCAUUUGGUGAAAACUCUAGGGGCCUGCCCGGGACAACCUGAGGAAGUGGGGAUGAGGCGGGGGACAAGACCCCAUCACGGGCCUAUAACAUCGUGCUUAUUAGUUGAUUAAACAAAAAACCCCAAGGGGGGGGGGGCCCCGCUUGCCCUCA
RNAcentral lists this ribosomal RNA (1246 nucleotides) under Enterococcus sp. RNAcentral describes it as "bacterial SSU rRNA". It matches the Rfam family "Bacterial small subunit ribosomal RNA", at positions 51 to 1272 of the family's 1533-position model. Lineage: Bacteria; Bacillati; Bacillota; Bacilli; Lactobacillales; Enterococcaceae. The record is from RNAcentral.